Molecule: ribosomal RNA, 274 nt
Filed under: uncultured bacterium
Lineage: Bacteria
Description: partial 16S ribosomal RNA
Rfam family: Bacterial small subunit ribosomal RNA
Source: RNAcentral
AUACAGAGGGUGCGAGCGUUAAUCGGAAUUACUGGGCGUAAAGCGCGCGUAGGCGGCUUAUUAAGUCAGAUGUGAAAUCCCCGGGCUCAACCUGGGAACUGCAUCUGAUACUGGUAAGCUAGAGUUUGGGAGAGGGAAGUAGAAUUUCAGGUGUAGCGGUGAAAUGCAUAGAGAUCUGAAGGAAUACCAGUGGCGAAGGCGACUUCCUGGCCUAAAACUGACGCUGAGGUGCGAAAGCCUGGGUAGCAAACGGGAUUAGAAACCCCAGUAGUCC